CAUCAGGGAUUUCAAUAAUUAAAAUUUACUCAAAUUAGGAGAUUCAAAAAAUAUAAUUGGGCAAUUAAUUAACCUCAAAUUAACUUGGCAGGGCCUAAAAAGAGAAAUCAGCCCAACUCUUUAAUCGCAGCCCAAUUUUAUUCCCUAACCCUGCAGAAAAGCCUCCAUCUUCCUCCCUUCUCUCUUUCUCUGCUUACACACCAGCCCACAGAAUUCUCUCUCUCUCUCCUCCUCAAUUUUGUUAUGUGCGCCGCUCCUCUGCACUCACCUCUAUCGCUAACCGACCAUAGCCCAAACACCUUCCUUCCUCUACAAAAAAGAAAAGAACUCAUGUUCAUAUCCAAUCUCCCAACUUCAAAAUUCCUGAAAUAAAAGGUUAGAUACACUCUAAAAGUAGCAAAAGUGAUCAAAUUGGACGUUAAUUAGAGAUUGUAAUUAGACGUUUCCUCUUCGAACAGCCUCAGCCUUUCAUUUCAUAUGGUUCUGCUUCGCUGUUGCCCUCUCCGUCAGCCUUGGAUGUCAUGGCCUAAGGUAUAGCGCAUGGGCAGCGUUCUAAAGAUUGCACUACAGCUGGAUGACUAACAUACUCCAUUUUUAUCACUUUCCCGCCAAAAUGCUGCCAGAGCUAAUUCACUCCAGAACGUUCUGACUCUCUCCAGCGCCCGCUGGGCAUGUUCGCGCACGACAACCUCUGUGUCUCUAGAUAGUAUUUGACGCUUAGUACAUGAUAGCCAGUUGCAAUUCUAUUCUCUGAGUUCGAUAUCCCGGUACUGACCUUUAUCCAUACUAUUUCUGCCUUGUAUACUUGCAAGUAGUUGUGGUGCUAAAAAAUAGUGCAUCAAUCCCAUAAAAAUAUGGGCAUAUCGAUUUAUGGAACUUUGUCCUCAACUUAUUACUGAUAUACAUCAAUUUAUUUACAACUUAUACUACUAGGACUCACCAUUAAAACUCAUUAAACACUAAUAAUAAUGCGGGUCUCACUAUACACUAGCACUACUU
Salvia splendens (bonfire salvia) is the source of this 999-nucleotide long non-coding RNA. RefSeq lists it as uncharacterized. The transcript has 3 exons. The record is from RefSeq and is a predicted model, not a curated record. Lineage: Eukaryota; Viridiplantae; Streptophyta; Magnoliopsida; Lamiales; Lamiaceae.